RNAcentral lists this long non-coding RNA (517 nucleotides) under Mytilus galloprovincialis (Mediterranean mussel). The record is from RNAcentral. Lineage: Eukaryota; Metazoa; Mollusca; Bivalvia; Mytilida; Mytilidae.
CUUAGAUUUUCAUAUAACUGUACAGCUUUCUCAUUUAUAUAUCAAUCUUACAGAAUGCUAGGUUUUUUGAUAGUUUGGUGUUUAGUUGUCAAAUUUAGGGAAUUAAUUAAUAGGCGAAAAAGGCUGCAUCAAAUUCAAAAACAUGCCUGCCUAUAUUUGCUUAAAAGGACCAUAAUUUCUUUUUCCAAAAGUAGAACAGAUAAAGGAAUAUUCAUAUUUGAACUAAAUGUAUACAUAUAUAUGGAAUUAACUAGCACAUUUUAAAUUUUGUAUUAACACCAAAGUUUAUUCUUUGAUUUCAAGACAUAAAAUUUUAAAACUUUAAAAUAGAAAAAGAACCUAAAUCAUUUUUGAUUGUCUUAUAGUUUUAGAGGGGCAAGGACUUUUUUUAUAGAUUUUUUUAGAUGGGCAAGGACUUUUUUUCAGAAUUUAAAAGGAUGGGCGUUAGCUUUUUUAAUGAAACAAUAUUAAGAAUGCACCGGCCCAUCCAUCUGGUAAAUAUUGAACGGUCCCUUAU